AAGGAGGAUGCAUGAAAGAGAUAUAUGCUUGCUUGCUUUGUUUCAUAGCAACUUAUUCAGAAAUAGUACUGCUUCAUAGUAUAUAGUAUAAUGCUACGCCUCGAGGAAAAAAACAGAAACAGUCUAACUAGUUUUAGAAGUUUAUGUUAGGGGUCAAAGUUUUUCAUUAUAUUCGCAAAACAGAUGAUGGUCUCUUGAUCUGCUCUAACAACAAAUAGUAGUCUCUCAUAAUAAAUUAUGUGCUUCAUCUUGUUUCAAGCUAGGUUAUAAGAACUCACAUUACAUAUAACUGGAGUAUCAAUGGAUCCCCAAUUGCAAGCUAGUAGUAGUAGGAGUAUUACACAAAGGGACCUGGAGCGCAUGCUACUUGAUGAAGCUGCAGAGCCCAAGGCCCUUCCGUUCUCACUUUUGGAGAAGAUCACAAACAAUUUCUAUUAUAAGAAUGAAAUUGGUAGCGGUGGUUUUGCAGUGGUUUAUAAGGGAAUGCUUAAGAAUGGGGAGGUCGCCGUAAAGAGGUUACGCGAUGCAUAUAAGUAUGAGAAAGAAUUCCUCCGAGAGGUUGAAUCUCUCAUGAAGGUGAAGCAUAAAAAUAUAGUACAGUUCCUAGGGUAUUGUGUUGACAUACAAGGGAAGGUGGAUAGGUACAAUGGAAAAAUUAUUAUGGCCGACGUACAAGAAAGAUUGCUUUGCUUUGUGUAUCUACCUAACGGCACUCUCAAUAAGCAUAUCAAAGGUAGGAUCAUGUGCUGCCUAACAUUUCUCUUCACUUCUAUUAUCUUCAUUGAAGGUGACUUGGUUCAGGCAGCACAUGCAUAUGAUUGAAAUCAUUUACCAUGUUGUAAGCUAUGGUACAAUGGAAAUUAAAGAGGUGAAAUGUCUCAGUUACGCACUAAACCCCCUAACUCAUCUCUCAUAUGUAGACACAUCUUGUGGGACUGAAUGGAAAACAUGUUAUCAUAUAAUCAAGGGGAUAUGUGAGGGCCUACAUUACCUCCACAGUAUAAAUAUUAUGCACCUCGACUUGAAACCAUCAAAUAUAUUGAUGGAUGAUAAUAUGAUACCAAAAAUAACUGACUUUGGUGUCUCGAGGAACUUUGAGGAAAUGCAAACCCAAACCAUUGCUACAAAAAUGAUUGGAACGAUUGGAUAUUUGGCGCCAGAAUUCCACACCAAUGUAAUCACACGCAAGUUUGACUUGUAUAGUCUUGGUAUUAUAAUAAUGGAGAUAUUGACCGGAAAGAGGGAGUCUCAACCUGUUGAGAGUGUGCUUGAAAGUUGGAACAGUAGGUUGGAGCUAUCACAGGGAAACCAGCAUUAUGAACAAAUACGAGCAUGCGCUGAGAUUGGGAUUGAGUGCAUACAAGACGAUCCAACAAAGAGACCAGCUAAUAUGACACAUAUAAUGGAUAGGCUUGCUGAAACAGAAAGAACAGAGCCCCUCUGCGAAUGCUUGGAUGACACGGCGGCCCGAGAGGUCGCCUCGUUCCUUCACCUCAAAUCCAACUGGGCCGAUCUGGACAAGGCCGAGAAGCUACUGCUAGCUGUCGAGAAGAGGGUGAGGGCGCGAGUCACCGCAGAGGUGGACAAGCUGAACCUCUGUGACCCUCAGGUGCAGGUCUGGCUGAGGCGUGUCGAAGAGCUACAACUGGAUGCCAUCGAUGAGGACUACAGCCAGUUGAGGAAGUAUUCUUGCCUCGGCCAGUGCACCAUCCAUGCUCACCAGUGUACAUCGAUCAGCAGGCGUGUUCUUGAGGCUCUAGAUGAGGCAAAUAAACUUAUCGAAGAAGGGAGGCGGUUCAAGAUAUUUGGAUUCAAGCCCCUGCCGAAGAUUGUUGAUCCCUUGCCUCAAAUCGAGACGUUUGGUUUGGAGACCAUGCUGAGUCAGCUCCAUGAUCUGUUUGAGAAGGGCGACUCGAACAUAAUUGGUGUGUGGGGUCAAGGAGGUGUUGGUAAGACGACGCUUCUACAUGUUUUCAACAAUGAUCUUGAAAAGAAGGCCCAUGAUUAUCAGGUUGUUAUCUUUAUUGAAGUAUCCAAUUCAGAGACGCUAAACACAGUGGAGAUACAACAGACUAUCUCUGAAAGGCUCAACUUACCGUGGAAUGAUGCGGAGCCAAUUGCCAAACGGGCCAAAUUCUUGAUAAAGGCACUUACUAGGAAAAGAUUUGUAAUCUUGCUUGAUGAUGUAAGGAAGAAAUUCCAACUGGAGUAUGUUGGUAUCCCACAGCCAGAGCAAGCUGAUCCUCACAACACGUUACCGAGAAGUAUGCUUUCAGAUGAAUGCACAAAGAAGCUUGAUUGAGAUGCGAAUUUUGGGUAACGAUGCUUCAUGGGAACUGUUCUUGGGCAAGCUGAGCAAGGAGGCUAGUGCAUCAGUUGGAUGGCUUGGUUCCCAGAAUGAUACUAGAGAGCACGCUAUGAAAAUAGCCCAAAGUUGUGGAGGCCUACCACUUGCACUCAAUGUCAUUGGGACCGCUGUGGCAGGCUUGGAAGAGGGAGAGUGGAGAUCAGCUGCGGAUGCAAUUGCUACCAAUAUGAACAAUAUUGAUGGUGUGGAUGAAAUGUUUGGUCAGUUGAAAUACAGCUACAAAAGUCUCACACCCACUCAACAACAGUGUUUCCUAUACUGCACUCUUUUCCCAGAAUAUGGAUCUAUCAGUAAAGAGCAACUUGUUGAUUAUUGGUUAGCCGAAGGUCUGCUAUUAAAUGACUGUGAAAAGGGUUAUCAGAUAAUCCGCAGUCUUGUUUCAGCCUGCUUGUUGCAGGCCAGUGGCUCAAUGUCAACAAAGGUAAAAAUGCACCAUGUAAUUAGGCAACUGGGGCUUUGGUUGGUCAACAAGUCAGAUACAAAGUUUCUUGUUCAACCAGGGAUGGCCUUGGAUAAUGCUCCAUCAGCUGGAGAAUGGAAUGAAGCUACAAGGAUCUCCAUCAUGUCUAAUAACAUCACCGAGGUUUCUUUCUCACCAAACUGCAAAAAUGUCACGACUUUGUUGAUGCAGAACAACCCAAAACUGAACAAAAUGAGUUAUGGAUUUUUCAGGACUAUGUCGUCCUUGAAAGUGCUGGAUCUUUCUCAUACUGCAAUAACAUCACUUCCAGAAUGUGCUACAUUGGUUGCAUUGGAGCAUCUGAAUUUGUCUCACACACACAUUAUGAGAUUACCUGAGUGCCUGUGGUUACUGAAAGAGUUGAAGCAUUUGGAUCUGAGUGUGACUAUUGCACUUGAAGAUGCCCUGAACAACUGCUCAAAGUUGCACAAGUUGAAAGUGCUCAAUCUCUUCCGUAGCCAGUAUGGUAUCCGUCAUGUUGACAACCUAAAUCUGGAUUCUCUGAAGGAACUAGUGUUCCUUGGAAUCACUAUUUAUGCAGAGGAUGUGCUACAGAAAUUGAACAUGCCUCGUCCUUUGGCAAACUCAACACAUCGACUAAACUUGAAGAAUUGUGCAAAGAUGAUAUACAUCAAAAUCUCUGAUCUAAACCACAUGAAGCACCUUGAGGAGUUGUAUGUUGAAUCAUGCUAUGACCUGAACACAGUAGUUGCUGAUGCUGAGCUUACAACUUCACACUUGCUGUUCCUGACCCUGUCAGUUCUUCCCUCAUUGGAAAGUGUCGUUGUUGCACCAAUGCCCCAUAAUUUUCAGUAUAUCCGCAAAUUGUUCAUUUCACAGUGCCCCAAGCUGUUGAACAUCACAUGGGUGCGAAGACUUCGUCUUCUUGAGAGGCUUGCCAUAUCUCAUUGUGAUGGGAUGCUCGAAAUUGUUGAAGACGAUCAUGCUUCAGAUGAACAAGAUCAUGGUAUGGUAGAAACUUCACGCAAUGACACAGGGCAGAGUGACUUCCCAAAGUUGAGAUUGAUCGUAUUGACAGGACUUAAGAAGCUGAGAUGUAUUUGUAAACCAAGAGAAUUCCCAUGCCUUGAGACCCUUCGGGUGGAGGAUUGCCCAAAUCUGAGAAGCAUCCCGCUGAGCUUCACACAUAACUAUGGGAAACUGAAGCAGAUAUGUGGUUCAGUUGAUUGGUGGGAGAAACUGCAGUGGGAAAAUAGGGAGGAGGUGGCAUGUCUGGACAGCAAGUACUUCAUUCCAAUCUGACAGAACCCCAAUUUCAAUGGCUUUUGUAUGGCAUGCAGGUGGCUUACUUCUGUCUUUAGUCUUCACACAAAUAAGAGGUCUCCUCUUAAAUUGUUUAAAAUUUGUAUAUGUGACAGGCAUAGCUUCUGUACAUUGUUAGUAUUGUAUUCAUGUAUACAAUAUGAUAUACUCUGUAAUUUGCUGGUAUUGCAUUUGUGUAAUAUGAAUUGUUCAUUUAAAUCAUAGUCCAACAAGGCUCUGUGACUUUCUGUCCU
This 4345-nucleotide ribosomal RNA is filed under the name Triticum aestivum (bread wheat). RNAcentral describes it as "partial small subunit ribosomal RNA". Lineage: Eukaryota; Viridiplantae; Streptophyta; Magnoliopsida; Poales; Poaceae. The record is from RNAcentral.